This 665-nucleotide ribosomal RNA is filed under the name uncultured archaeon. Its description in RNAcentral is "bacterial SSU rRNA". It matches the Rfam family "Archaeal small subunit ribosomal RNA", at positions 670 to 1336 of the family's 1478-position model. The record is from RNAcentral.
AGGCGCGCAUCCAGAACGGACCUGACGGUGAGGAACGAAACCCUGGGGAGCAAACGGGAUUAGAUACCCCGGUAGUCCAGGGCGUAAACGAUGUCCGUUUGGUGUUGCAUGCUCUACGUGGGCGUGCAGUGCCGUAGCGUAGGUGUUAAACGGACCGCCUGGGGAGUACGGUCGCAAGACUGAAACUUAAAGGANUNGACGGGGGAGCACCACAAGGGGUGGAGCCUGCGGUUCAAUUGGAUUCAACGCCGGAAAUCUUACCGGGAUCGACAGCAGAAUGAUGGUCAGUCCGAAGGGCUUACCUAACGCGCUGAGAGGCGGUGCAUGGCCGCCGUCAGCUAGUGCCGUGAGGUGUCCUGUUAAGUCAGGUAACUAGCGAGACCCGCGUCUCUUGUUGCUAUCCUGUUCUCCGGAACAGGAGCACACUGGAGAGACCGCUGGUGAUAAAUCAGAGGAAGGUGCGGGCAACGGUAGGUCAGUAUGCCCCGAAUUUCCCGGGCUACACGCGUGCUACAAUGCGUCGGACAGAGGGUUGCCACGCCGUAAGGCGGAGCCAAUCCCUAAACCCACGCCCAGUUCAGAUUGAGGGCUGUAACUCGCCCUCAUGAAGCCGGAAUCCCCAGUAAUCGCGUAUCAUUAUUGCGCGGUGAAAACGUCCCUGCUCC